UUUUAUGGCGGCUGUGUGUGGGAGAUCUUCGGGUCUGCCGGGUGCUAACUCCUCGGUCUGCGAACCCGCACAUGGCUGCCACCCAU
This 86-nucleotide non-coding RNA is filed under the name Pseudomonas sp. 43mfcvi1.1. Lineage: Bacteria; Pseudomonadati; Pseudomonadota; Gammaproteobacteria; Pseudomonadales; Pseudomonadaceae. The record is from RNAcentral.